Acinonyx jubatus (cheetah) is the source of this 2163-nucleotide long non-coding RNA. RefSeq lists it as uncharacterized. The record is from RefSeq and is a predicted model, not a curated record. The transcript has 3 exons. Lineage: Eukaryota; Metazoa; Chordata; Mammalia; Carnivora; Felidae.
AGAAAGCUCGUCCACGUCACAAAGCUGUUGUCCCCUCUCCCCCAUCACAGCACCCGAGGUCCGGACCAACUUGGCCUCACUCCAGGGAUUUUGCUAGACCGUAUACCGCUUCAUGCUAUCCAUCCAAGGGCUCCCAGAAUGGUGGCACGGGGCCUGGGGCACCAAUGAGCCAUCCUUCCUUGGAGAGAUCUGGUUUGGGAUCCCAGCUACUCUCGCCCUCCAGCCCGCCUCGCUUGAAACUUCCGGCAAUAGAGACUCCUUUGACGUUUAAAGAAAACAAGGACAAAACACUGGCAGCACAACGUUUCCACUGUGGAACAGCUAAGCUGCUGGGAUGGCGUCUGGGCAAGGCGGGUUUUUCAAUGGAGCCUGCCUCUCUUUGGAGUAGGUGGCUUAGGCUGUGCUGAUGCCAUCUUUGCCUGGUUGUCAAAAAGAGAUCCAGAAAUAUAGGCUUGUGGAAUGUUGGAGCUGGAAGUCUUGUCCAACUGAACUUAUUUAACAACCCUGGAAGGCCAGAAGCUGAGCCCAGAGUGGCCAGGAAACUCUAGUUUGGCCCAUUUUGGUUUGUUGGAAUCAAUAUUUGCAUUUCCUGGACAUUUCUCCUGAGCAGUAUCCAAAUGCCUGGUAUAUCCAGGGGACGCGAGUCAGCUCACUUACAGAGUCUCUAUCUCUGUCCAUCUCUGUCCCUCUCUGUGUCUUGCUCUCUUGAUGUCUCUCUCUGUAUGAGCCAAGCUCACUUAACAGACUCUGUCUCCCCCUGCUUCCCCCCUGCACAGGGGUUGGGGGAGUGGGUACUAGCACUACCACAGCUGUCUUAGGAAAAUUUUCUCCCAAAUACCCUUUUAAAAGCUUCUCGCUAAUCCCUCUUUUCUGGGAGAGGUCUAGAGAUCUGGGUGAUUUCCCUGGGGGAGAGACAUCAGUCACACAUUCCACAUGAAAGAAAUUUCCCCCUUUCUGCAGCUUGCCUGUACCUCCUCUUAUAAUUCAUCACAGCUCAUCACAGUGCCCUGGCCAGUGAGGCUGAUAAGGGUCCUUGAAAUCUUAAGUGACCGUCUCUGAACUCUAGGGAGAAGAGAAUGGGGAGGAACUGCUGAGUGGGCACAAGGUUUUCCUUUAGGGCGAUGACAAUUUUUUGGAACUAGAUAAAAGUGAUGAUUGCACAUGUUGCACUGCAUUGUUCACUUUAAAAUGGUUAAUUUUAUGAUAUGUGAAUUUCACUUUAAUAAAAAAAUUUCUUUGAAAAAAAAAACAAUAAUGGGGCACCUGGGUGGCUCAUUAGGUUAAGCAACCAACUCUUGAUUUUAGCUCAGGUCAUGAUCUCAAUGAUUUGUGAGUUCAAGCCCCACAUCAGGUUAUGUUCUGACAGUGCGGAGCCUGCUUGAGAUUCUAACUCCCUCUCUCUCUCUGCCCCUUCCCCACUCUCUCUUUCUCUCUCUCUCUCUCAAAAUAAACUUUAGUAAAAAAAACAAAAAAAUAAUAUCACUGACAUCUAAUCACUUUUUUAAAAAUUACAGAGUUCGUGUGUGAUCAAAUUACUUCUAACUGCAUUGUAUGUGGCACACACACAUGUAAAAUACAUUCCCAACCCCGGAGGAAUUUAAGACCUAGCUGGAGAACAGAGAUGACUAAUACAUCAAACAACUUCCAUAAGAGCAAUGCCCUUCCUCUGUGUGCAAUUGAGAGUUCGAAGACGCACCUCUGCUAAUGCAGAAAAGGAAAAAGUUCUUGGAGAUGACAUUGGAAAUGAGCUUUAAGAGUUGAAUGAAAUUUUUACUGUUAGAGUUGGAGGUGGAGAAAUAUAAUUAACAGGAAGAAUGUCUGAUCCCUACAAGGGGGUCACAUGAUACAUUUAAGGACAUUACCUAGUCCAAUCUGGCUGUCAUAAAAGCUACAUCAUUCCAGCAUGAGUAUUAAAGACCAGAUGUCAAAAGACCAUGACUCUGCCCCUUUGUCUCCAAUGCCUGAUGCCCUGUUUUCCACAUACUUGAUGAUGCAUGAAUGUCAAAGAUAAAAUAAAAAUGUGCAUUAAAGAAACUCUAAGAAGCACAUGUACCAGGAAAACUAUAAAACAGUUGUCUUAGCUAGAAGCAUGUACUACUACUGAAAUAGGCUAAGACAAGUAUGCAACAAGUUUUGAGGUACAAGGCAGAACAUGGUGUAACU